This 412-nucleotide unclassified non-coding RNA is filed under the name soil metagenome. Its description in RNAcentral is "partial contains 5.8S ribosomal RNA, internal transcribed spacer 2, and large subunit ribosomal RNA". The stretch from base 1 to 119 matches the Rfam family "5.8S ribosomal RNA", at positions 35 to 154 of the family's 154-position model. The record is from RNAcentral.
GAUGAAGAAGCAGCGAAAUGCGAUAAGUAAUGUGAAUUGCAGAAUUCAGUGAAUCAUCGAAUCUUUGAACGCACCUUGCGCUCUUUGGUAUUCCGAAGAGCAUGCCUGUUUGAGUGUCAUGAAAAUAUCAACCUUGACUUGGGUUUUGUGCUCUAGUCUCGGCUUGGAAUUGGGUGCUUGCCGCUUUUACGAGCGGCUCACCUUAAAUGUAUUAGCUGGAUCUGUCUUUGAGACUUGGUUUGACUUGGCGUAAUAAGUAUUUCGCUAAGGACAUUCUUCGGAGUGGCCUCGUUUCUAGGACGCUUGUCCGCUUUCCAAUACAAGUUCCACCUCGUGGACAUGACUUUUUAUUAUCUGGCCUCAAAUCAGGUAGGACUACCCGCUGAACUUAAGCAUAUCAAUAAGCGGAGGA